RNAcentral lists this unclassified non-coding RNA (680 nucleotides) under Hevea brasiliensis (rubber tree). The record is from RNAcentral. Lineage: Eukaryota; Viridiplantae; Streptophyta; Magnoliopsida; Malpighiales; Euphorbiaceae.
GACCUACCAUGAGAAAGUAGAAUCAUCUAAUGGGAUGGUUCUAGUUAUCUAGCAUAUACACUGAAUUUACAGGUGUCAUAUAUAAUAACUACUGAUAGUAACUGAUAUUGAGUCAUAUAAUGUACUAAUCCUUGCCAAUUAUAUUAGUAGUGCACUAUGAAAUUGUUCAUCAACUAACUUGGUUUUCAAUUUAUAAAGUUUGCUUUAAGCUGAUUUUAACAUCUAGAAAAUUUUAUGGUGGUUUCCUACACAAUAUUGCACAUCUAUUGUGCUUAUGAGUCUCCAGUGCUUUAAAAUGCUAAAGUUGGUUCACUAAUGCAAUCAUUUUAUUAGGAGUGGUUUCAUGGUUGAAAAUUCUUGCUUCUCAAGUGAUAACCUAUUAAGUCCUUUUUUAAAAAGCUAAAUUCUCAUAAUUGUUGCAAUUACCUGAUUUAAAUUCUGCAAGUUGCUUUUAUGAUGAUAAAUAAUAGAGCAUACAUGAUUAUGGUGUUCUGACAUGUGCAGUGAACAUCUACUAUUAUCUUUUGUUGGCUUGGCAUGAUUAUUCAUUAACAGCAUUGAAUUGUUAGUUGCAUACUGAAAAUGCUUAGAUUUUCACCCUGAAAGAAAAGAUGUCCAUUUUAUCCAUUGCGUACGAUGAUCCCAUUAUAUUUCUAUGAUCAUUUUGAAACGUGUCAUCU